GACGUAGGGUCCGAGCGUUGUCCGGAAUUACUGGGCGUAAAGGGCGCGCAGGCGGCUCUGAAAGUCAGAUGUGAAAGCCCCGGGCUUAACCUGGGAACUGCAUUUGAUACUCUAGAGCUUGAGUACGGGAGAGGAGAGUGGAAUUCCCAGUGUAGAGGUGAAAUUCGUAGAUAUUGGGAAGAACACCGGUGGCGAAGGCGGCUCUCUGGACCGUAACUGACGCUGAGGCGCGAAAGCGUGGGGAGCAAACAGG
This 253-nucleotide ribosomal RNA is filed under the name uncultured bacterium. RNAcentral's name for it is "partial 16S ribosomal RNA". It matches the Rfam family "Bacterial small subunit ribosomal RNA", at positions 524 to 776 of the family's 1533-position model. The record is from RNAcentral.